AUGACUCGACGAAGGCGCCUGGUGGGGUGCCCUUUCUGGCGGCGGCGGUGGCAGCGGGGCACGCUAGAGUGCCGUCACCGCGUCGGACAGAUCGGCGAUGCGCCGCUCGAGAUCGGGGCGCCAAGCCACGAGAUCGUCGAUCUUGGAGUUGGAGGCGUUGAUCGCGGCGGUGUGCUCCUUGAGAAUGGUCUCCAGACGCUCCAGGAAGGACUGGAUGGAUGGAUCCAUGGCGAUGAGGCGGAUACGCGCUUGGCGGAGGGAUCAGGUUUCUACAAAUUGGGCCAGAUCGGCGCGAGGAAGGAGGUGGGAGUGGUCUCUGAUACCAGAUGUAAGGGUAUGGAUAGCGGUGGAAGGAUCUAUUGGUAG
RNAcentral lists this ribosomal RNA (366 nucleotides) under Triticum aestivum (bread wheat). Its description in RNAcentral is "partial small subunit ribosomal RNA". Lineage: Eukaryota; Viridiplantae; Streptophyta; Magnoliopsida; Poales; Poaceae. The record is from RNAcentral.